GGGUAUGUGGCCUAGUGGCGAGGGCAACGGCCUUUUAAGCCGAUAGCGAAAAGCUCAACGUGGGUUCGAGUCCCACCAUACCCA
RNAcentral lists this transfer RNA (84 nucleotides) under Bdellovibrio sp. CG10_big_fil_rev_8_21_14_0_10_47_8. RNAcentral's name for it is "tRNA-Lys". It matches the Rfam family "tRNA". From Rfam's summary of the family: Transfer RNA (tRNA) molecules are approximately 80 nucleotides in length. The record is from RNAcentral. Lineage: Bacteria; Pseudomonadati; Bdellovibrionota; Bdellovibrionia; Bdellovibrionales; Pseudobdellovibrionaceae.